This 491-nucleotide ribosomal RNA is filed under the name Pleosporales sp. P1_Na_21_Fu. Its description in RNAcentral is "eukaryotic LSU rRNA". The stretch from base 134 to 287 matches the Rfam family "5.8S ribosomal RNA". Lineage: Eukaryota; Fungi; Ascomycota; Dothideomycetes; Pleosporales. The record is from RNAcentral.
GGGGAACUUCGGUUUCCCUGUCUGACCCUUGUCUUUUGCGUACUAUUUGUUUCCUUGGUGGGCUUGCCCGCCGAUAGGACAACCCUUAAACCUUUUGUAAUUGCAAUCAGCGUCAGAAAAACAUAAUAAUUACAACUUUCAACAACGGAUCUCUUGGUUCUGGCAUCGAUGAAGAACGCAGCGAAAUGCGAAAAGUAGUGUGAAUUGCAGAAUUCAGUGAAUCAUCGAAUCUUUGAACGCACAUUGCGCCCCUUGGUAUUCCAUGGGGCAUGCCUGUUCGAGCGUCAUUUGUACCUUCAAGCUCUGCUUGGUGUUGGGUGUUUGUCCCGCUUUCUGCGUGGACUCGCCUCAAAGCAAUUGGCAGCCGGCGUACUAGCCUGGGAGCGCAGCACAUUUUGCGAAUCUCGACUGGAACGCUUGCGUCCAUCAAGCCUUUUUUAACUCUUGACCUCGGAUCAGGUAGGGAUACCCGCUGAACUUAAGCAUAUCAA